AAUCAACGCUGGCGGCGUGCCUAACACAUGCAAGUCGAACGAGAAAGUGGAGCAAUCCAUGAGUAAAGUGGCGCACGGGUGAGUAACACGUGACUAACCUACCCUUGAGUGGGGGAUAACCUAGGGAAACCUGGGCUAAUACCGCAUAAUACCUACGGGUCAAAGGAGCAAUUCGCUUUAGGAGGGGGUCGCGGCAGAUUAGUUAGUUGGCGGGGUAAUGGCCCACCAAGACGAUGACUGUAUCCGGCCUGAGAGGGCGCACGGACACACUGGAACUGAAACACGGUCCAGACUCCUACGGGAGGCAGCAGUGGGGAAUUUUGCGCAAUGGGGGAAACCCUGACGCAGCAACGCCGCGUGGA
This 362-nucleotide ribosomal RNA is filed under the name uncultured bacterium. RNAcentral describes it as "bacterial SSU rRNA". It matches the Rfam family "Bacterial small subunit ribosomal RNA", at positions 32 to 405 of the family's 1533-position model. The record is from RNAcentral.